UCCUAGGUGACUUAAAAUGGUAAAGAAUCUGCCUGCAAAGCAAGAGACCCAGGUUCAAACCCUGGGUCAGGAA
RNAcentral lists this transfer RNA (73 nucleotides) under Ovis aries (sheep). It matches the Rfam family "tRNA". Rfam says of the family: Transfer RNA (tRNA) molecules are approximately 80 nucleotides in length. Their secondary structure includes four short double-helical elements and three loops (D, anti-codon, and T loops). Further hydrogen bonds mediate the characteristic L-shaped molecular structure. tRNAs have two regions of fundamental functional importance: the anti-codon, which is responsible for specific mRNA codon recognition, and the 3' end, to which the tRNAs corresponding amino acid is attached (by aminoacyl-tRNA synthetases). tRNAs cope with the degeneracy of the genetic code in two manners: having more than one tRNA (with a specific anti-codon) for a particular amino acid; and 'wobble' base-pairing, i.e. permitting non-standard base-pairing at the 3rd anti-codon position. The record is from Rfam by way of RNAcentral. Lineage: Eukaryota; Metazoa; Chordata; Mammalia; Artiodactyla; Bovidae.